GCUGAAAUAGCUCAGCCGGCAGAGCGCUUCACUCGUAAUGAAGAGGUCGUGGGUUCGAUUCCCAUUUUCAGCU
This 73-nucleotide transfer RNA is filed under the name Lachnospiraceae bacterium. RNAcentral's name for it is "tRNA-Thr". It matches the Rfam family "tRNA". Rfam says of the family: Transfer RNA (tRNA) molecules are approximately 80 nucleotides in length. Lineage: Bacteria; Bacillati; Bacillota; Clostridia; Lachnospirales; Lachnospiraceae. The record is from RNAcentral.